This 90-nucleotide transfer RNA is filed under the name Candidatus Blautia merdipullorum. RNAcentral's name for it is "tRNA-Ser". It matches the Rfam family "tRNA". From Rfam's summary of the family: Transfer RNA (tRNA) molecules are approximately 80 nucleotides in length. The record is from RNAcentral. Lineage: Bacteria; Bacillati; Bacillota; Clostridia; Lachnospirales; Lachnospiraceae.
GGAGAUGUACUCAAGUGGUCGUAAGAGGUCGCACUCGAAAUGCGAUAGGUCCGUAAGGGCGCGUGGGUUCGACUCCCACCAUCUCCGCCA